Molecule: ribosomal RNA, 448 nt
Filed under: uncultured Anaerolineaceae bacterium
Lineage: Bacteria; Bacillati; Chloroflexota; Anaerolineae; Anaerolineales; Anaerolineaceae
Description: bacterial SSU rRNA
Rfam family: Bacterial small subunit ribosomal RNA
Source: RNAcentral
CCCCGCACAAGCAGCGGAGCGUGUGGUUUAAUUCGAUGCUACACGAAGAACCUUACCAGGGUUUGACAUGCAAGUGGUAGAGAAGCGAAAGCGGAUCCACCCUCGGGAGCUUGCACAGGUGCUGCAUGGCUGUCGUCAGCUCGUGUCGUGAGAUGUCCGGUUAAGUCCGGUAACGAGCGCAACCCUCGCUGUGUGUUAUAUGUGUCACACGGGACUGCCGGUAUCAAGCCGGAGGAAGGUGGGGAUGACGUCAAGUCAGCAUGGCCUUUAUGUCUGGGGCUACACACACGCUACAAUGGCCAGUACAAUAGGUUGCAAGACCGCGAGGUGGAGCCAAUCCUUAAAGCUGGUCUCAGUUCGGAUUGCAGGCUGCAACUCGCCUGCAUGAAGUCGGAGUUGCUAGUAACCGCGCGUCAGCCAUAGUGCGGUGAAUACGUUCCCGGGCCUU